ACUUUCCCCACGCGAAUCAAGGACUGGAAUAAGUGUGCGGUUUACUUCUUCGAUUCAUCUGCUUGAUGGCAGCUCAACGAGAGCCAAGGUUUUAAUGGGGUGAAUUCAAUAGUAGCUGAUCUUGUAAAGCUAAAGCCCAAAGAACUGUUGAAUUCAAGUGCAGUAAGAGGGUUCACAUAUUAUCCAAGUCAACAUGGCUUUGCUGCUGAGCUUGUUCGAAUUAGGAAGGGCAGUG
This is a long non-coding RNA of Gossypium arboreum, 235 nucleotides long. RefSeq lists it as uncharacterized. The transcript has 2 exons. The record is from RefSeq and is a predicted model, not a curated record. NCBI's taxonomy places the organism in Eukaryota, Viridiplantae, Streptophyta, Magnoliopsida, Malvales, Malvaceae.